This 72-nucleotide transfer RNA is filed under the name Camelus bactrianus (Bactrian camel). It matches the Rfam family "tRNA". Rfam says of the family: Transfer RNA (tRNA) molecules are approximately 80 nucleotides in length. Their secondary structure includes four short double-helical elements and three loops (D, anti-codon, and T loops). Further hydrogen bonds mediate the characteristic L-shaped molecular structure. tRNAs have two regions of fundamental functional importance: the anti-codon, which is responsible for specific mRNA codon recognition, and the 3' end, to which the tRNAs corresponding amino acid is attached (by aminoacyl-tRNA synthetases). tRNAs cope with the degeneracy of the genetic code in two manners: having more than one tRNA (with a specific anti-codon) for a particular amino acid; and 'wobble' base-pairing, i.e. permitting non-standard base-pairing at the 3rd anti-codon position. The record is from Rfam by way of RNAcentral. Lineage: Eukaryota; Metazoa; Chordata; Mammalia; Artiodactyla; Camelidae. RNAcentral also lists the same sequence under 3 other names.
GAGGGUAUAGCUCAGUGGUAGAGUGUAUGCUUAGCAUGCAUGAGGUCCUGGGUUCAAUCCCCAGUACCUUCA